CCUACGCGUGGCAGCAGUGGGGAAUAUUGCACAAUGGGGGAAACCCUGAUGCAGCGACGCCGCGUGAGUGAAGAAGUCUUUCGGUACGUAAAGCUCUAUCAGCAGGGAAGAAAAUGACGGUACCUGACUAAGAUGCCGCGGCUAACUACGUGCCAGCAGCCGCGGUAAUGUGUAGGGGGCAAGCGUAAUCCGGAUUUACUGGGUUGAAUGGGAGCGUAGACGGCAGCGCAAGUCUGGAGUGAAAUUCCAUGGCUUAACCAUGGAACUGCUUUUGAAACUGUGCAGCUAGAGUGCAGGAGAGGUAAGCGGAAUUCCUGGUGUAGCGGUGAAAUGCGUAGAUAUUAGGAGGAACACCAGUGGCGAAGGCGGCUUACUGGACUGUAACUGACGUUGAGGCUCGAAAGCGUGGGGAGCAAACAGGAUUAGAUACCCGUGUAGUC
This 440-nucleotide ribosomal RNA is filed under the name uncultured bacterium. Its description in RNAcentral is "partial 16S ribosomal RNA". It matches the Rfam family "Bacterial small subunit ribosomal RNA", at positions 338 to 795 of the family's 1533-position model. The record is from RNAcentral.